GGAACUUGUGGUUCUGCAGUGGUUUGGUCACCUCUGGCCACCACGACGUCUGCUCUAAGAAGGGAGGAGCCAGCCUCUGCCCACGGGAAGGUGUUUAGGGGAUGCUGGAUGCUGACUGACGUGGCUUCUCUGUGUCCACACCAGGGAGAGCAACAAGCCCCGGCCCUCAGAGCUCAGCCGGAUGAGCGCAGCCCAGAGACAGCAGCUUCUCGAGGAAGAAAGGACCCGGUUUCAGGAGCUGCUGGCCAGUCCGGCCUACAGAGCCAGCCCCCUGGUGGCCAUCGGGCAGACGCUGGCCCGGCAGAUGCAGCUGGAAGAUGGCGGCCAGCUCUGACCAGGGCAGCGGGCUUGCCACAACUCCUCAGGACACGUGUGGGCCAAGUAGAGAGCGCCGGCCCCUCAAGGACCAUGGCCUGAGCCUGGUGGACGCCCUUCCCUCUGGUCGGUUGUGGGGCUCAAUAAAUGGCUCUGUGAACUUCCCCUGCACUGCCAGGGCCGUUCCCA
RNAcentral lists this small RNA (504 nucleotides) under Pan troglodytes (chimpanzee). RNAcentral describes it as "processed transcript". Lineage: Eukaryota; Metazoa; Chordata; Mammalia; Primates; Hominidae. The record is from RNAcentral.